This 451-nucleotide ribosomal RNA is filed under the name uncultured bacterium. RNAcentral describes it as "bacterial SSU rRNA". It matches the Rfam family "Bacterial small subunit ribosomal RNA", at positions 29 to 524 of the family's 1533-position model. The record is from RNAcentral.
AACGAACGCUGGCGGCAGGCCUAACACAUGCAAGUCGAACGCCCGUAGCAAUACGGGAGUGGCAGACGGGUGAGUAACGCGUGGGAACGUGCCCUUCGGUUCGGAAUAACUCAGGGAAACUUGAGCUAAUACCGGAUACGUCCGUAAGGAGAAAGAUUUAUCGCCGAAGGAUCGGCCCGCGUCGGAUUAGCUAGUUGGUGAGGUAACGGCCCACCAAGGCGACGAUCCGUAGCUGGUCUGAGAGGAUGAUCAGCCACACUGGGACUGAGACACGGCCCAGACUCCUACGGGAGGCAGCAGUGGGGAAUAUUGGACAAUGGGCGAAAGCCUGAUCCAGCCAUGCCGCGUGAGUGAAGAAGGCCUUAGGGUUGUAAAGCUCUUUCAGCGGGAAGAUAAUGACGGUACCCGCAGAAGAAGCCCCGGCUAACUUCGUGCCAGCCGCCGCCGUAAC